AAAAGCUAUCAACACAAAAAUAAAAGCAACCGUAGCUCUUCUCCAACUCUGCGGAAUGGAAAAAAUACGGUGGUCUGUCAGUUUUGUGACAAGGCUGGUCACACUGCCAAAGUUUGCUACAAAAUUAAGAGAUUUCCAAAUGCAAUGACCCUUAACCAACAUCGAACUUUGCUCAGAAUCAGGCUGCAACACAACACGGUAAUUGGAUCAUGGAUACUGGAGCAUCUCAUCAUAUUUUGCUCAAGAC
RNAcentral lists this long non-coding RNA (247 nucleotides) under Lathyrus oleraceus (garden pea). RNAcentral's name for it is "Pisum sativum (pea) long non-coding RNA (PSAT_LNC035549)". Lineage: Eukaryota; Viridiplantae; Streptophyta; Magnoliopsida; Fabales; Fabaceae. The record is from RNAcentral.